UGUCAGAUUGAACGCUGGCGGCAGGCCUAACACAUGCAAGUCGAACGGCAGCACAGAAGAGCUUGCUCUUUGGGUGGCGAGUGGCGGACGGGUGAGUAAUGUCUGGGAAACUGCCCGAUGGAGGGGGAUAACUACUGGAAACGGUAGCUAAUACCGCAUAACGUCGCAAGACCAAAGUGGGGGACCUUCGGGCCUCACACCAUCGGAUGUGCCCAGAUGGGAUUAGCUAGUAGGUGGGGUAACGGCUCACCUAGGCGACGAUCCCUAGCUGGUCUGAGAGGAUGACCAGCCACACUGGAACUGAGACACGGUCCAGACUCCUACGGGAGGCAGCAGUGGGGAAUAUUGCACAAUGGGCGCAAGCCUGAUGCAGCCAUGCCGCGUGUAUGAAGAAGGCCUUCGGGUUGUAAAGUACUUUCAGCGGGGAGGAAGGCGACGCGGUUAAUAGCCGCGUCGAUGACGUA
RNAcentral lists this ribosomal RNA (464 nucleotides) under Enterobacteriaceae bacterium Z10_18. Its description in RNAcentral is "bacterial SSU rRNA". It matches the Rfam family "Bacterial small subunit ribosomal RNA", at positions 22 to 476 of the family's 1533-position model. The record is from RNAcentral. Lineage: Bacteria; Pseudomonadati; Pseudomonadota; Gammaproteobacteria; Enterobacterales; Enterobacteriaceae.